CAGGUAGCACUUAUGGUUGCAAAUGAAUUUUGGGAACAAGGAGAUCUGGAGAGAACAGUGUUGCAGCAACAACCCAUUCCUAUGAUGGACAGAAACAAAAGAGAUGAAUUACCUAAACUUCAAGUUGGAUUUAUUGAUUUUGUUUGUACUUUUGUAUAUAAGCUGCUGAAGAUUCAGGAGGUGGUAAUGACAAAAAGUCCAAAACAUGUUUAAUGUUGUAAUAUUAUCUAACUGGUCUAAACUUCAAAUAUCAUUUUACCUUUGAAGAAAACCAGAAAACAUUCAAAAGAACUUCAACAAAUCAUCAAGUAACAGGAUCUUCAGAAAAACUACCCUGUGACUAUGAAGAAAAUAUAUAUUGCUAGCCCAAAAAUCCCAGGGGCAAAAUAAAGUUCAACAAAAGUGCAAAAUAUGACAAAAAUAGGUACAUUUUUGGUGCCAAUUUAUUUUAAAUUAAAAAAUAUGCAAUCCUGAAA
RNAcentral lists this small RNA (476 nucleotides) under Pan troglodytes (chimpanzee). RNAcentral's name for it is "processed transcript". Lineage: Eukaryota; Metazoa; Chordata; Mammalia; Primates; Hominidae. The record is from RNAcentral.